Molecule: long non-coding RNA, 3119 nt
Organism: Cephus cinctus (wheat stem sawfly)
Lineage: Eukaryota; Metazoa; Arthropoda; Insecta; Hymenoptera; Cephidae
Exons: 6
Source: RefSeq, a predicted model, not a curated record
UUAGUAGUAUCCUCCGCGAGGAAGCUGUUCUGCCUGGACGCUUUCCGGUAGUAAACGAGGAUUUAUCAGAGCAGCUUAGAUCCACAACCUGGGGUUAUUUUAUCGUGGUUCAUGUCGAAGAGACUUCUGUUCGUUUUAUGGUCGGUGCGCGGGCGCCUUAAGCUUUCGUAUGCUGUGUUGAUAGUGGAGUAUCGAGAUUGCAGGUUACAAUUUCGUAGUUCGGACGUGACAGAUCUAUCUACCGGAUGAAAAAUGGCCGAAUGUUUGUACUUCGUGUGCUGCAGUAAGUGAGGACGAUAUAUAUUAUACUACGCUGACAGAUGAGGAAUGUCGACCAUUGAAGGCAAUUCGGAGGCAAUGUGUUUUCAUGAAAAAUUAAACGGCAGGGCCAUGUGCCUGCAGGUUAAAUGAAGUUGAAAAUGAGAGACAAAGUUUUUUGUUUUCAUAUACAACCUGUCACAGCAAUAAACACGGAUUUAUCAAUGUGGGUCACUGCUCACAGGAUCUUUUUUAUGGUCUGCAGCAUCUCAGAUUCACAGUCACUGUGCCAGCACCAUUUUUUAUAUACGUUUCACAGUCGAUAAUCAUUCGGAGCAUCACGUAACGAUAACGAUAAUCUUCGAAUAAAUAUUAUCAAGGAAUAUAGUUUCGUUCUUCUAGCUCCAAGAAUUUUCUUAUUAACAAUAAAAAUUGUACCUGUGUGAAAUUGUUCGCCAUGGAAAUAUCCGCAUGCUUCAUGGUUCCGUAAGUUUUACACGAUGAAAUUCUCGCGCAGGGAUAUUUUCUUGUUCACCUAUGCACGAAGUGCAGUGAGAUGGAGAUGGAAAAACGUUUGCGUAGAUAGAGAUAUAUAAAACUUGGAGUAAACGUGCAAUUUUCAAAAUCUCUAAAGAACCAUCCUGUCUCAAGGUACACAGUAAGAUUGACCAGUCUAUUAUCAGUAAUGAAGAAGAGCUCCAGUUCUAAGACGGUGAAGAGUAUAUCUAAAGGGUACAAGAUGGAGCAGUUAAUUUAAGAAGGAGCGUAAGAAAUGCAGUAAAACCCAAGGAAAGAAAAUCUCGGAAAUGGACAUGGAAUCCUGGCGUAUAAGGAUGCUAGAACGUAGGUUGGUCCAGGAGGAGGAAGCUGCUUGCUAACCAGCCAACCUAGCUAGUUCCUAGCCUGAGCAGGCCAAUCCAGCUUAGCCGGUCAGCUAGGUGGAAGGAAGGCAAGAAGCUAUGAACGAAGGAAGAAGGAAGCUGGUCUCGAGGUAUUGCUUCAUUAAUCAUUCUCACCUUUUAGCUGCUGCUGCUUCUUCUUCUGGUGGAAAAAGAGCUUUUACUAACGUUCCGCCUUUUUACGAUUAAAGGCGCUUUAAAGAGUCUUUAACCGGAGUGCAGAUCAAAGAUCGUCGCCAUUGACACGAAGGCAGAAGGACGUGAAGUAAAUGAUUCAUGGGUUAUAGAGGACGUCGUGGAUGAUUCUUUAGCAGAUAUUUUUCAAGUAUCGGAAACAUGUCGAGAAAUACUAUCGUGGCAGUCUUUCAUUGGUUAAUUCCGAAAUUGAGGGUCACCCUGUAUAGUCUGCCGAUUACGUUAUGGCACAGUCGCGACUUCCUAACUGUGGGUAGAAAAAAAAAAAGUUGGCAGCCCGCGAAAUUGCUUUGGCUUAGUUCUGUCGUACCGUUAAGGCUAAUUUCCUUUAUUUAUCUGGAUACGGGCCGAAUCGAGAUUUUCCAUUAGCAGUGUCCUGCGGAAUUCAGAUGCUCUAGAAACGAGCUUUUAAAACUAUUAGAGGACUUAAUAAAUCAGACAAGCCACGUACAAGCAGCGCUGAGAAGGUGCACAAAGAAGCGCACACGGUACUUGUCGUGAGAAUUUUAGAAAGAGAUAAAAAAGUGAAAAUGGACAAUGCAACUGCUACAGAGAAGGAAAUUCUAGAGAAAAUUGUCGUUACUGUCAUUACUGUCUCAGACACUAUUUUCUUCAAGAAUAAGUGCUGCAACACGUUCCUGAUGUAUACCAUCAGUAGGAACAAUUUCUCAGAGACCAAGACUCAAAGAAUGAGAUGUAUUUUGGUUUCGUUGCUUGAUAAAAGUGGACCAGCUUGAGUGGCACUCCAUGCCGUAAGAAAUUGGGCAACCCUCCGGGUAAUUAAUUAAACAAAUUGCCCGUAGCUAAGCAUUACGUGGUAGAUUCGUUAUAACUGGUGAAAAUUGAAAAUUUCUUCUCAAGACGGAUGAAAAUUUGAAUCUCCUUUUUAGAUACCGUGCUAAUUAUUCUUUCUAAGCGCAUUACCAUCUCCCAAAUUCAAAAGAAGACAAACACUUGGAUCCCUGUGCAUGGUAUAAUUACUGUGCGCUGGCAUUGACAGAUUUACGAGUCUAAAUCGUUAAGGGCGGGUAAAUGGAUGGGAAAAUAGCGAAGGGUAAAAUUGUCACUCUUUUUUUUUCUUCCACUCGCCUUUAAAAAGUCUUCGUUAAGGUAUACCCAGAGACCAAUAACGACCUAAAGCCUAUUCUAAUUGCCGUGAUUCCGCCUGACGAAUUCUCAACACGCCUUUUAGUUACAGUCACGUAUUUUAUUUUUAAACCAAUAAAAGUCCGGACCAUUUUCCAUUUUAAGUGGAAAAGCGAAAAUUUGUCAAUUGGAGAAAAUUGGAAAAAUUUUAAAUAAAAAAAAACUGCUACAAAAGCAACACUCGCAGUACCAUGGCAAAACCAUUAUACGGAAAUCGCAGUAAGAGUCUUCUACCUGGCACAACCGUACUCGUCGAACCCUGCGAGUUCACGUUUCUUGGGAAUUUUUCGAUCUUCCCCAGGCUAACGAUAAGGGCAGCGUCGGCGUCGGCGUCGGCGUCGGUAGCGCGGGCACAGCGGGUGUCGGCCGAGCGCCGACGAGUAAAUUGAAGCGAUCCAUUAUAUGCCGGUGUCGGGUUAUCUGGGGGUGAGUUGAAGAUGAAAAUGGGUGUCAGUUCGGUCCAACCCCUCCUACCUCGACCUUUCACCCCCCGCCGUCUUACCUGUCUCCUGUCGGUAUAAUAUGCUAACGCAUUUUCCCACGGUACUUUUUCCAGGAUAAUAAUUCUUCGCUACAGAAAUGCACAUACUCCAUUUCGUAGUCUUAUAUUCAAAAAAAAAA